UCCCACAUCGGAUGGGUUACUGAUUCCGAUCAGUUUAUAUGAGAUCUAUAUGUUAGUAAUAAUAACUGGGCUUAAGUAUUUUGGGCUGGUGGUUUGGGCCCAACGAGUUAUUGUUGCUAACGGGUCGGGUCGUUGUAAUUAGUAUUAGAGACGAAUACUAGUCGAAAGUGUAAGAACUAAGCACUAUGCAGGACAGAACUAAGCACUAUGCAGGACAAAAUGCUAUAUCAACGGAUUUGGUGGGAGCUACCUCUUGAAUCCGUAGGAGCCAUCUCUAGAAUAUCACAUAGUGACAGAACUAAGCACUAUGCAGGACAAAGUGCUAUAUCAACGGAUUUGGUGGGAGCUACCUCUUGAAUCCGUAGGAGCCAUCUCUAGAAUCUCACAUUGCCUGGUAAUGGUCCUGGUCUGUCUGUCUAUCUGUGAUCUGGUUUGGACCCGACGAAGACGUCAAGGUCUGAUGGGAGACUGAUUUCCAUCAGUUUAUAUGAGGCCUACACGCUAGUAAUAAUAACUAGGCUUAAGCAUUUUGGGCCGGUGGUUUGGGACCAACGAGUUAUUGUUACUAGCGGGUCGGGUCGUUACACGAGGUCCAUGUGAUGUAGCUGAAAA
Molecule: long non-coding RNA, 612 nt
Filed under: Ananas comosus (pineapple)
Lineage: Eukaryota; Viridiplantae; Streptophyta; Magnoliopsida; Poales; Bromeliaceae
Description: long non-coding RNA (ACOM_LNC016093)
Source: RNAcentral